Molecule: transfer RNA, 70 nt
Filed under: Cricetulus griseus (Chinese hamster)
Lineage: Eukaryota; Metazoa; Chordata; Mammalia; Rodentia; Cricetidae
Rfam family: tRNA
About the family: Transfer RNA (tRNA) molecules are approximately 80 nucleotides in length. Their secondary structure includes four short double-helical elements and three loops (D, anti-codon, and T loops). Further hydrogen bonds mediate the characteristic L-shaped molecular structure. tRNAs have two regions of fundamental functional importance: the anti-codon, which is responsible for specific mRNA codon recognition, and the 3' end, to which the tRNAs corresponding amino acid is attached (by aminoacyl-tRNA synthetases). tRNAs cope with the degeneracy of the genetic code in two manners: having more than one tRNA (with a specific anti-codon) for a particular amino acid; and 'wobble' base-pairing, i.e. permitting non-standard base-pairing at the 3rd anti-codon position.
Source: Rfam by way of RNAcentral
GGAGUGAUAGCUCAACAGUUAAGAGCACUGGCUUCUUGACCAGAGGACCUGGGUUCAAUUCCUAGCACCA